GAUGAACGCUGGCGGUAUGCUUAACACAUGCGAGUCGAACGGACUCUUCGGAGUUAGUGGCGGACGGGUGAGUAACGCGUGAGAAUCUGGCUUUGGGUUCGGGACAACCACUGGAAACGGUGGCUAAUACCGGAUGUGCCGAGAGGUAAAAGAGAAAUUGCCUGAAGAUGAGCUCGCGUCUGAUUAGCUAGUUGGUGAGGUAAAGGCUCACCAAGGCAGCGAUCAGUAGCUGGUCUGAGAGGAUGACCAGCCACACUGGGACUGAGACACGGCCCAGACUCCUACGGGAGGCAGCAGUGGGGAAUUGUCCGCAAUGGGCGAAAGCCUGACGGAGCAAUACCGCGUGAGGGAAGAAGGCUCUUGGGUUGUAAACCUCUUUUCUUAGGGAAGAACAAAAUGACGGUACCUAAGGAAUCAGCAUCGGCUAACUCCGUG
This 435-nucleotide ribosomal RNA is filed under the name uncultured bacterium. RNAcentral describes it as "partial 16S ribosomal RNA". It matches the Rfam family "Bacterial small subunit ribosomal RNA", at positions 28 to 507 of the family's 1533-position model. The record is from RNAcentral.